This 457-nucleotide ribosomal RNA is filed under the name Rossellomorea pakistanensis. RNAcentral's name for it is "bacterial SSU rRNA". It matches the Rfam family "Bacterial small subunit ribosomal RNA", at positions 119 to 560 of the family's 1533-position model. Lineage: Bacteria; Bacillati; Bacillota; Bacilli; Caryophanales; Bacillaceae. The record is from RNAcentral.
GGGUAACCUGCCUGUAAGACUGGGAUAACUCCGGGAAACCGGGGCUAAUACCGGAUAACUCAUUUCCUCGCAUGAGGAAAUGUUGAAAGAUGGCUUCUUGCUAUCACUUACAGAUGGACCCGCGGCGCAUUAGCUAGGUGGUGAGGUAACGGCUCACCAAGGCGACGAUGCGUAGCCGACCUGAGAGGGUGAUCGGCCACACUGGGACUGAGACACGGCCCAGACUCCUACGGGAGGCAGCAGUAGGGAAUCUUCCGCAAUGGACGAAAGUCUGACGGAGCAACGCCGCGUGAGUGAUGAAGGUUUUCGGAUCGUAAAACUCUGUUGUUAGGGAAGAACAAGUACCGUUCGAAUAGGGCGGUACCUUGACGGUACCUAACCAGAAAGCCACGGCUAACUACGUGCCAACAGCCGCGGUAAUACGUAGGUGGAAAGCGUGGUCCGGAAUUAUUGGGCG